Molecule: ribosomal RNA, 292 nt
Filed under: uncultured bacterium
Lineage: Bacteria
Description: partial 16S ribosomal RNA
Rfam family: Bacterial small subunit ribosomal RNA
Source: RNAcentral
GUGCCAGCCGCCGCGGUAAUACGUAGGUGGCAAGCGUUGUCCGGAAUUACUGGGCGUAAAGGGCGUGUAGGCGGCCUUUUAAGUCAGACGUGAAAACCCUGGGCUUAACCCAGGAACUGCGUUUGAAACUGGAGGGCUUGAGGACCGGAGAGGGUAGUGGAAUUCCCAGUGUAGCGGUGAAAUGCGUAGAUAUUGGGAGGAACACCAGUGGCGAAGGCGACUGCCUGGACGGCACCUGACGCUGAGGCGCGAAAGCUAGGGGAGCAAACGGGAUUAGAAACCCGUGUAGUCC